This 253-nucleotide ribosomal RNA is filed under the name uncultured bacterium. RNAcentral's name for it is "partial 16S ribosomal RNA". It matches the Rfam family "Bacterial small subunit ribosomal RNA", at positions 524 to 776 of the family's 1533-position model. The record is from RNAcentral.
UACGUAGGGUGCAAGCGUUGUCCGGAAUUAUUGGGCGUAAAGAGCUCGUAGGCGGUCUGUCGCGUCGGCUGUGAAAACUCGGGGCUCAACCCCGAGCCUGCAGUCGAUACGGGCAGACUAGAGUGCUGUAGGGGAGACUGGAAUUCCUGGUGUAGCGGUGAAAUGCGCAGAUAUCAGGAGGAACACCGGUGGCGAAGGCGGGUCUCUGGGCAGUAACUGACGCUGAGGAGCGAAAGCGUGGGGAGCAAACAGU